UGUCUUUUAAGAUAAUAAUUAAAAGUCGGGCCUGCCCAAUGAUUUAAAAAUUUAAUGGCCGCGGUAUUUUGACCGUGCUAAGGUAGCAUAAUCAUUAGUUUCUUAAUUAGAAGCUUGAAUGAAAGGUUUGAUGAAAAAAUAACUGUCCCAUUUUCAAUAUUUUGAAUUUUAUUUUUAAGGGAAAAAGCUUAAAUUUUUAUAAAAGACGAGAAGACCCUAUAGAGUUUUAUAUUAAAUUUUUAAGUAGUUUUAUUAAGAAUAAAAAAUUUUUUAAAUUUUUAAUAUUUGGUUGGGGKGAUUGAAAAACUUAAUUAACUUUUUUUUAUUUUUUACAAUAAUGUUUGAUUAAAUGAUCCUUGUUUUUAGAUUAUAAGAAUAAAUUACCUUAGGGAUAACAGCGUUAUUUUUUCUGAGAGUUCUAAUCGAAGGAAAAGUUUGCGACCCCGA
Molecule: ribosomal RNA, 447 nt
Filed under: Pityokteines minutus
Lineage: Eukaryota; Metazoa; Arthropoda; Insecta; Coleoptera; Curculionidae
Description: partial 16S ribosomal RNA
Rfam family: Archaeal large subunit ribosomal RNA
Source: RNAcentral